Molecule: long non-coding RNA, 3087 nt
Organism: Homo sapiens (human)
Lineage: Eukaryota; Metazoa; Chordata; Mammalia; Primates; Hominidae
Exons: 2
Source: RefSeq, a predicted model, not a curated record
AGACUCGGCUCACUGCCGACGCGGGUAUAGACCUCGCUCCCAUCGGACCCCAUGCGCAUCCAUGGAUGCGGGUAAGUCGCGGGUCCGCGGCUCCUUUCUGGGCGUGCGGAAUGAAACUCUGUUGAAGCCUGAAGCUUCGCGUGUAACCGCGCCGCCAGAGUUCCGAACACUUCAAGUCUCCCGUGUUCUCAGAGCAUCGUCUCUAACUUCCUCUCCUAGAGGAUUUCGUCCUGGGCGGCAGGUUUCCGUAGACUCGAAACCCCAGGCUGUGCUCCGGCCGCGCAGUCCUCCCCGGAGCCGGAGCCCGAACUUGGGGCUGCUACCAGACCCGCAGCAUUGAUCUGAGCCGCGGUUGUCACGUUUCGGCCCGCUUUGUCCCCAGCUCCGUGCAGCGUCCAGGGCGGAUCCACCCCCGUCCCCACCCCAGCCCUAUCCGGCGAGAUCUGGCUUACCACGAGGGUCAGCAGCAGAUGCAGGCAGACGGCUCCGCGCACGGAGCGCCGGGGCCCAGCGGCGGCCAUCGGGAUGCCGGGCAGGGCCAGGAGAACGCGGGCGCCGGGAGGGUGCCGAGAGCGAGACCUGCCGAGGUGCAGGGCGCGGGAGGUGCUUUUCUCGCCGCUGCUUGUUUUUAAGUGUAUUUGGCCUCUCUCAGGCUUGCCUGCCCGGGAGCAACUUCACUUCUGAAACCGGAUUGGACCCAGAGGACGCGGAGAGGCCACUCCUUGUUAUUUCUCAAGUUUUAUCAUCGCCGGCGCGGCUGAGGAGCUGCCCGAGCCUGCCCCUCUGCUCCCCAGCAGCCACCCGGGCGUUCGCGCUCGGGAAAGCGGUCUCUGGCGCACCCUCUGCCAGUUCUCCCACGCCCCUCGGCUGCCCCGCGGCGCUGCCGCCCCGCCCGGCCCGCAGAGAGGCCCUGGCAGCCCAGAUCGUCCCAGGGCGGCCCCAUCGCCGGCGCUGCGCGGUGCAUCUCAAUGCAGAACCCCAAUCCGCCCGCAGGGAUCCCUGCCUCGACACGGGCUCUGCUGGAUGCCAGGAACACCCUUGUCAUUGGAUCAGCGGAUCUCCCCUUCGACGUCUGAACAAAUUCUGCCAAUGUUUUCAGAUUAAAGCAAAAUACAUGUACUGUAUUCUCUCCGGAUUUGACUAACAUGACAAAAUACACGACAGAAGGAAUUUAUCCCAGAUGGCAUGAUAAACAGUUUUUGGCAUGUCAGAAAUUAAAACCAAAUUUAAGAAAUUCUAAUCUAACCAUUUUUACGCACCCAAAAUAUGAGUGAUUACACUCAGCGCUCUAUUAACUGUCAGUUUGGGGGACUCAUAUGAACCUUCUAAAAACGACUUUGUUCUUAGAUGUGAAUUAUUGGUUUACUACUUACUGGUACCAAAAUGAAAUUUUUCAGGUGGUCAAAGGAAUAUCUACCACACAAAACCUUCUAAAACGAGGCUUACAGAUUCUACAUCAUGCAACGACUAUUUAUCAGGGCCCGAAGUCGGCCAAGCUUUGUGUGAGGGCAUGGAAGAAAGGAAAUGCAGAAAAUCUAGUUCCUGUCGGAAAUAAUUCAAAGUCAGAAAGGGACGAAAGACAAUCAUUCCUAGCCCAGUAGGCUACACUUUUUAAUAGAGAUGUCGUUUGUAACACCAGGGGGACAUCCUCUUAUUUCUCCCUAAACUGAAUUUUAAGUUCCCCGAGUUCCCAUCUACUGGAUUCAGGAGGAAAUCCCUCUCAGACAUGAGAUGCUACUCCUCGAAGUCCAUUCAAAAGUUGCAAGGUCGGGAAUUUCAGACAGCCAAUUAAUCAUGAAAGGGUGUUAUGACCUUCAUUCAUCUCACUCUGGCUCAAGUCUAAUAGACUCCUCGUCGUCUAAGCCAUGUAUUCCCUGAAGUCUGGGGCUUCCCUGAAACUCAUGAGGCUCAGCUUUAAGGGCUCAGACACUCUAAGUUGAGCUUCCCAGUGUGAAUCUCCCAGGCACCCGUCAGUGGAGGUCUCUGUAUGUAAGAGCUCUUCCAGUCUCAGAGAAAGUUCUCCAAACUUCUCUCCACUCCAGGGUUUUCACCUCCCAUCCUCCACGUGCCUCCAGCAUGACCUCAGAGAAAGCUUCUCAAAGUCACUUCCAGCCCCCCAGCCCUCAGAAACUCAAGUAGAAUGGUUUUCUUGAACUUAGAUGAGUAAAGGAGAUGGCUAGCACCAAUCUCCCUCCCUCACCACUUUGAAUUCACUGUUAGAGUGAAGGGUUGAGGUGUUAAGGCAUUUUAGAGGAGAGGAUCUAACUUAGCUGAAGAAAGCUUUGAAGAAGCAAAAUGUUGCGAUAAGCCCAGCAAAGAAAAGGGAAAGGGUAGGAGAAUGCUUCAAGAUAACACAACAUCAACAGGACAUGAGAAGCUCUGGAGAGCCUUGUGAGAGUGCCCCAGGGUAAGAAAGCAGAAAGGGGUUGGUUCAGAAUGGUUACAUGCAAUGGCUGGGAAUUCGGUUAGAAAGAUGGUUCAUGACAAACCAUGCUGAGGAAUUUAAUUUCAUCCUGACAGAAAUGGAGAACCAUCCAUUCAAUGUGUGAAAAGGGUUAGUAACUACUGUUACAAAAUUGUCACUUUUGGUGAGUUUGCACAUAUGAACCCAUUUGUGCUGUAAUAUGGCUUUCUUUAAUACCUAGGGAAUGAAAGACUUUGAAGUGUUUGUCUUUAUUCUAACUAUUCUUAGUUUUUCUAUGAUUUCAACUCUAUCUUCAGAUUUAUGAGAGUCUGGCCUGGUUAGGACUGUCCUUUGAAAGACUAAAACUCUAAAAUUGCUAUCCCCUGAUUAUUUUGACUGUGCUGUGUAAUAGAGGAUAUUUAUUGUUAAGCCUACUGACUAAUAUGACAAUUGCUGUGAGCUUCCAUUUUUAGCUUCCGCAAAAUAAAAGUUGUAGGAAUCUGCUUUAGAAAAACUCGAAGAAAACAUAUUAUGGAUAUUUUUAACUUGUAUUGCAAAAUUCUAGGUGCAAUACGAACAUUAAUAACUGAAUGUAGUAUUAGUAAUGAUUUUGGAAUUUCCUGUUUGUCCACCAUGAGUAUAUUAAUCUAAGUCCUAAUAAAAAGCAAUGCAUUUUUAUCAUA